RNAcentral lists this ribosomal RNA (549 nucleotides) under Enterobacter ludwigii. RNAcentral describes it as "partial 23S ribosomal RNA". It matches the Rfam family "Bacterial large subunit ribosomal RNA", at positions 1220 to 1767 of the family's 2925-position model. Lineage: Bacteria; Pseudomonadati; Pseudomonadota; Gammaproteobacteria; Enterobacterales; Enterobacteriaceae. The record is from RNAcentral.
GUUGUUGGGUAGGGGAGCGUUCUGUAAGCCGUUGAAGGUGUCCUGUGAGGGGUGCUGGAGGUAUCAGAAGUGCGAAUGCUGACAUAAGUAACGAUAAAGCGGGUGAAAAGCCCGCUCGCCGGAAGACCAAGGGUUCCUGUCCAACGUUAAUCGGGGCAGGGUGAGUCGACCCCUAAGGCGAGGCCGAAAGGCGUAGUCGAUGGGAAACAGGUUAAUAUUCCUGUACUUGGUGUUACUGCGAAGGGGGGACGGAGAAGGCUAUGUUAGCCGGGCGACGGUUGUCCCGGUUUAAGCAUGUAGGCGGAGGUUCCAGGUAAAUCCGGUUCCUUGUUAACGCUGAGGUGUGAUGACGAGGCACUACGGUGCUGAAGUAACAAAUGCCCUGCUUCCAGGAAAAGCCUCUAAGCAUCAGGUAACAUCAAAUCGUACCCCAAACCGACACAGGUGGUCAGGUAGAGAAUACCAAGGCGCUUGAGAGAACUCGGGUGAAGGAACUAGGCAAAAUGGUGCCGUAACUUCGGGAGAAGGCACGCUGAUAUGUAGGUGAAG